This 305-nucleotide ribosomal RNA is filed under the name uncultured bacterium. Its description in RNAcentral is "bacterial SSU rRNA". It matches the Rfam family "Bacterial small subunit ribosomal RNA", at positions 336 to 637 of the family's 1533-position model. The record is from RNAcentral.
CUCCUACGGGGCGCAGCAGUGAGGAAUAUUGGUCAAUGGCCGGAAGGCUGAACCAGCCAAGUCGCGUGAGGGAAUAAGGCCCUAUGGGUCGUAAACCUCUUUUGUCAGGGAGCAAAGGCGUCCACGAGUGGACGAAAGGAGAGUACCUGAAGAAAAAGCAUCGGCUAACUCCGUGCCAGCAGCCGCGGUAAUACGGAGGAUGCGAGCGUUAUCCGGAAUUACUGGGUGUAAAGGGAGCGCAGGCGGGAAGCCAAGUCAGCUGUGAAAACUACGGGCUUAACUUGUAGACUGCAGUUGAAACUGGU